RNAcentral lists this long non-coding RNA (268 nucleotides) under Elaeis guineensis (African oil palm). RNAcentral's name for it is "long non-coding RNA (EGUI_LNC013798)". The record is from RNAcentral. Lineage: Eukaryota; Viridiplantae; Streptophyta; Magnoliopsida; Arecales; Arecaceae.
ACUUCCUUUUUUCAAUUUUCUGGCUUUCUUUAUUUGCUCGCUUUUGGUCAUUUUAAUGUUUUAUUCUUGAGAUUUCACAAGAAUUUAUAGGGCAUAGAGGGACAUAAAGGUGAUGAAGGACGGGCAAUAGAAAACACAUAAAAGCCAAUGAUUUUUCGUAACCAUUCUUUUCCAAUAUCCCAUCCUGGUUGGUAAAAAUUUAUGAAUUGUUUGCUCUGAAUUCAAGUGUUUAAGUAGUUUUGCAAUUACUAAUGUCAUGGCCCAACCC